RNAcentral lists this ribosomal RNA (253 nucleotides) under uncultured bacterium. RNAcentral describes it as "partial 16S ribosomal RNA". It matches the Rfam family "Bacterial small subunit ribosomal RNA", at positions 524 to 776 of the family's 1533-position model. The record is from RNAcentral.
UACGUAGGGGGCUAGCGUUGUCCGGAAUCAUUGGGCGUAAAGAGCGCGUAGGCGGCCCUGUAAGUCCGCUGUGAAAGUCAAGGGCUCAACCCUUGGAUGCCGGUGGAUACUGCAGGGCUAGAGUCCGGAAGAGGCGAGUGGAAUUCCUGGUGUAGCGGUGAAAUGCGUAGAGAUCGGCAGGAACACCCAAGGGGAAGCCAGCUGGCUGGGCAUUUGCUGACGCUCAUGUGCGACAGCGUGGGGAGCGAACUGG